GAUGAACGCUGGCGGCGUGCCUAAUACAUGCAAGUCGAGCGAACGGACGAGAAGCUUGCUUCUCUGAUGUUAGCGGCGGACGGGUGAGUAACACGUGGAUAACCUACCUAUAAGACUGGGAUAACUUCGGGAAACCGGAGCUAAUACCGGAUGAUAUUUUGAACCGCAUGGUUCUAAAGUGAAAGACGGUCUUGCUGUCACUUAUAGAUGGAUCCGCGCUGCAUUAGCUAGUUGGUAAGGUAACGGCUUACCAAGGCAACGAUGCAUAGCCGACCUGAGAGGGUGAUCGGCCACACUGGAACUGAGACACGGUCCAGACUCCUACGGGAGGCAGCAGUAGGGAAUCUUCCGCAAUGGGCGAAAGCCUGACGGAGCAACGCCGCGUGAGUGAUGAAGGUCUUCGGAUCGUAAAACUCUGUUAUUAGGGAAGAACAUAUGUGUAAGUAACUGUGCACAUCUUGACGGUACCUAAUCAGAAAGCCACGGCUAACUACGUG
This 497-nucleotide ribosomal RNA is filed under the name uncultured bacterium. RNAcentral's name for it is "partial 16S ribosomal RNA". It matches the Rfam family "Bacterial small subunit ribosomal RNA", at positions 28 to 507 of the family's 1533-position model. The record is from RNAcentral.